This 877-nucleotide ribosomal RNA is filed under the name Bacillus amyloliquefaciens. RNAcentral describes it as "bacterial SSU rRNA". It matches the Rfam family "Bacterial small subunit ribosomal RNA", at positions 59 to 917 of the family's 1533-position model. The record is from RNAcentral. Lineage: Bacteria; Bacillati; Bacillota; Bacilli; Caryophanales; Bacillaceae.
CAGUCGAGCGGACAGAUGGGAGCUUGCUCCCUGAUGUUAGCGGCGGACGGGUGAGUAACACGUGGGUAACCUGCCUGUAAGACUGGGAUAACUCCGGGAAACCGGGGCUAAUACCGGAUGCUUGUUUGAACCGCAUGGUUCAGACAUAAAAGGUGGCUUCGGCUACCACUUACAGAUGGACCCGCGGCGCAUUAGCUAGUUGGUGAGGUAACGGCUCACCAAGGCGACGAUGCGUAGCCGACCUGAGAGGGUGAUCGGCCACACUGGGACUGAGACACGGCCCAGACUCCUACGGGAGGCAGCAGUAGGGAAUCUUCCGCAAUGGACGAAAGUCUGACGGAGCAACGCCGCGUGAGUGAUGAAGGUUUUCGGAUCGUAAAGCUCUGUUGUUAGGGAAGAACAAGUGCCGUUCAAAUAGGGCGGCACCUUGACGGUACCUAACCAGAAAGCCACGGCUAACUACGUGCCAGCAGCCGCGGUAAUACGUAGGUGGCAAGCGUUGUCCGGAAUUAUUGGGCGUAAAGGGCUCGCAGGCGGUUUCUUAAGUCUGAUGUGAAAGCCCCCGGCUCAACCGGGGAGGGUCAUUGGAAACUGGGGAACUUGAGUGCAGAAGAGGAGAGUGGAAUUCCACGUGUAGCGGUGAAAUGCGUAGAGAUGUGGAGGAACACCAGUGGCGAAGGCGACUCUCUGGUCUGUAACUGACGCUGAGGAGCGAAAGCGUGGGGAGCGAACAGGAUUAGAUACCCUGGUAGUCCACGCCGUAAACGAUGAGUGCUAAGUGUUAGGGGGUUUCCGCCCCUUAGUGCUGCAGCUAACGCAUUAAGCACUCCGCCUGGGGAGUACGGUCGCAAGACUGAAACUCAAAGGAAUUGACGGG